This 465-nucleotide ribosomal RNA is filed under the name uncultured Shewanella sp. RNAcentral describes it as "bacterial SSU rRNA". It matches the Rfam family "Bacterial small subunit ribosomal RNA", at positions 338 to 795 of the family's 1533-position model. The record is from RNAcentral. Lineage: Bacteria; Pseudomonadati; Pseudomonadota; Gammaproteobacteria; Alteromonadales; Shewanellaceae.
CCUACGGGAGGCAGCAGUGGGGAAUAUUGCACAAUGGGCGCAAGCCUGAUGCAGCCAUGCCGCGUGUAUGAAAAAGGCCUUCGGGUUGUAAAGUACUUUCAGCAGUGAGGUAGGUUCAUACGUUAAUAGCGUAUGGAUUUGACGUUAGCUGCAGAAGAAGCACCGGCUAACUCCGUGCCAGCAGCCGCGGUAAUACGGAGGGUGCGAGCGUUAAUCGGAAUUACUGGGCGUAAAGCGUGCGCAGGCGGUUUGUUAAGCGAGAUGUGAAAGCCCCGGGCUCAACCUGGGAACCGCAUUUCGAACUGGCAAACUAGAGUCUUGUAGAGGGGGGUAGAAUUCCAGGUGUAGCGGUGAAAUGCGUAGAGAUCUGGAGGAAUACCGGUGGCGAAGGCGAAUGUCUGGCCAUGUACUGACGCUGAGACGCGAAGGUGCGGGGAGCAAACAGGUUUAGAUACCCUAGUAGUC